GAUGAACGCUGGCGGCGUGCCUAACACAUGCAAGUCGAGCGAAAAGACGAUGAGCUUGCGCCCUUGACGUUAGCGGCGGACGGGCGAGUAACACGUGCAUAACCUACUUAUUUGACUGGGAUAAUUACGGGAAGCCGGAUACGAUACCGGAGCAUAUGAUGAACCGCAGGGUUCAAUAGUUAAAGACGGUUUUGCUGUCACUAAUAGAUGGUUCCGCGCCGGAUUAGCUAGUUGGUAAGGUAACGGCAUACCAAGGCAACGAUGCGUAGCCGACCUGAGAGGGUGAUCGGCCACACUGGAACUGAGACACGGUCCAGACUCCUACGGGAGGCAGCAGUAGGGAAUCUUCGGCAAUGGGCGCAAGCCUGACGCAGCAACGCCGCGUGAGUGAAGAAGGUCUUCGGAUCGUAAAGCCCUGUUAUUGGGGAAGAACAGCUGUGUGAUUAACUAUGCACGUCUUGACGGUACCUAAUCAAAAAGCACCGGCUAACUACGUG
Molecule: ribosomal RNA, 497 nt
Filed under: uncultured bacterium
Lineage: Bacteria
Description: partial 16S ribosomal RNA
Rfam family: Bacterial small subunit ribosomal RNA
Source: RNAcentral